UGCAAGUCGAACGGCAGCACGGGAGCAAUCCUGGUGGCGAGUGGCGAACGGGUGAGUAAUAUAUCGGAACGUGCCCAAUCGUGGGGGAUAACGCAGCGAAAGCUGUGCUAAUACCGCAUACGAUCUACGGAUGAAAGCGGGGGAUCGCAAGACCUCGCGCGAGUGGAGCGGCCGAUAUCAGAUUAGCUAGUUGGUGAGGUAAAGGCUCACCAAGGCGACGAUCUGUAGCUGGUCUGAGAGGACGACCAGCCACACUGGAACUGAGACACGGUCCAGACUCCUACGGGAGGCAGCAGUGGGGAAUUUUGGACAAUGGGCGCAAGCCUGAUCCAGCAAUGCCGCGUGCAGGAUGAAGGCCUUCGGGUUGUAAACUGCUUUUGUACGGAGCGAAACGGUUCUCUCUAAUAAAGGGGGCUAAUGACGGUACCGUAAGAAUAAGCACCGGCUAACUACGUGCCAGCAGCCGCGGUAAUACGUAGGGUGCGAGCGUUAAUCGGAAUUACUGGGCGUAAAGCGUGCGCAGGCGGUUUUGUAAGACAGAUGUGAAAUCCCCGGGCUCAACCUGGGACCUGCAUUUGUGACUGCAAAGCUAGAGUACGGUAGAGGGGGAUGGAAUUCCGCGUGUAGCAGUGAAAUGCGUAGAUAUGCGGAGGAACACCGAUGGCGAAGGCAAUCCCCUGGACCUGUACUGACGCUCAUGCACGAAAGCGUGGGGAGCAAACAGGAUUAGAUACCCUGGUAGUCCACGCCCUAAACGAUGUCAACUGGUUGUUGGGUCUUUGCUGACUCAGUAACGAAGCUAACGCGUGAAGUUGACCGCCUGGGGAGUACGGCCGCAAGGUUGAAGCUCAAAGGAAUUGACGGGGACCCGCACAAGCGGUGGAUGAUGUGGUUUAAUUCGAUGCAACGCGAAAAACCUUACCCACCUUUGACAUGUACGGAAUCCUUUAGAGAUAGAGGAGUGCUCGAAAGAGAGCCGUAACACAGGUGCUGCAUGGCUGUCGUCAGCUCGUGUCGUGAGAUGUUGGGUUAAGUCCCGCAACGAGCGCAACCCUUGUCAUUAGUUGCUACAUUUAGUUGGGCACUCUAAUGAGACUGCCGGUGACAAGCCGGAGGAAGGUGGGGAUGACGUCAAGUCCUCAUGGCCCUUAUAGGUGGGGCUACACACGUCAUACAAUGGCUGGUACAAAGGGUUGCCAACCCGCGAGGGGGAGCUAAUCCCAUAAAGCCAGUCGUAGUCCGGAUCGUAGUCUGCAACUCGACUACGUGAAGUCGGAAUCGCUAGUAAUCGUGGAUCAGAAUGUCACGGUGAAUACGUUCCCGGGUCUUGUACACACCGCCCGUCACACCAUGGGAGCGGGUUCUGCCAGAAGUAGUUAGCUUAACCGCAAGGAGGGCGAUUACCACGGCAGGGUUCGUGACUGGGGUGAAGUC
This 1434-nucleotide ribosomal RNA is filed under the name metagenome. RNAcentral describes it as "bacterial SSU rRNA". It matches the Rfam family "Bacterial small subunit ribosomal RNA". The record is from RNAcentral.